Molecule: unclassified non-coding RNA, 1127 nt
Filed under: Bombus terrestris (buff-tailed bumblebee)
Lineage: Eukaryota; Metazoa; Arthropoda; Insecta; Hymenoptera; Apidae
Description: misc RNA ENSBTSG00005030133.1
Source: RNAcentral
UACAAUUAUGUUACGUAACUAGUAUAGUAAGCUUGUAAUUAGAUUCGUUUAAUGUUGAUUCUAAUAUUAGAAUGUAAUUGAACUGGUGUCAGUGGGUGGACAUGUUCUAUAUUAGGAUCUAUUGAGAAUCUGUUGACGUGCAGUUAGUAAUCACUGUCUGUAAUAGCAAGUGGUUGAAAUUAAUACGGCUUCGAUCACUGGGAUUAAUGCUGAUUAGAAGUUGUUUGCAGAAAUUGUUGUUGUCGUUGGACGAUGUUAAUUUAGGUUACGUGUUUGGGAGAAUUAGAGAACGCUUUGUAGGUGCCAAACUCGUAACCUGAAACCAAGUCAACACAUGGUCAGAAUAAAGACCAUAGAGAUGGAGAAAGAUAAAAAGAAAACACGUACGGCUUGAUGGCCGAAAUUUCGACACGAAACAAAUCGAGGAUCAUUCGACGUGUAUCUGGUUAAUCGUCCGAGGAUUAAACGUCCGUCGCGGUGUCGUUAUGAAUAUUCAUAGAGUGGUCUUUUGUCGGUAAGCAAGAUUUGGAAAAGCAAGGUAGUCGGCGUCGUUCAAAGAGAUAUAUCGAGCCACGAGUUUACCUAGACACCGGUUUCUAGACGAACACUGCUUCUGCCCUGCCCCACCACGACAAGAUUUGUGCAUUAGGCAGAGUGAAUUCUUGUGCUCGGUGUUGGUUUUUAAUGAACGUAGAAUUAAAUGGUACAAGGAGAAAGUCGAAGCAAAUGGUCGGAUAAGGUUUGACGUUGUUGGUUGGAAUUUUUAAAUGAGUGUGUUUCACUUUAUAGCAUUUGAAGUAAUAUAUGUAUAAUUAAGUACUUUUAGUAGCAAUUAAGGGGUUGUUUGCAAUUGUAAAAUUUCAACAUUUUACGACAUGCAAAUUUCUGAUUUCUGUAAAAGGAAAUUUUUUUUAGAGGAACGAUGAAAUAAUUUAAAUAAUUUUUGUUAUUUAUUAAAAUGGACGUAUUUCGUGAUUAUUAAAUAAAGAAUAUCUUCACAUGGUAGAAAUCGAAACGUGCUCGUUCCAAAAUUUCAGCUAAAUAUUUACUCAACAUUUCACAGUGUUUAACAUUUUCUCAUAAGAAAUAUAUUUAUUUGAAAAACUAAAUCUUCCAAAACAUCUUCA